This 635-nucleotide ribosomal RNA is filed under the name Stenotrophomonas sp. RNAcentral's name for it is "bacterial SSU rRNA". It matches the Rfam family "Bacterial small subunit ribosomal RNA", at positions 33 to 658 of the family's 1533-position model. The record is from RNAcentral. Lineage: Bacteria; Pseudomonadati; Pseudomonadota; Gammaproteobacteria; Lysobacterales; Lysobacteraceae.
GUGCCUGGCUGUGGCUAACACAUGCAGUCGAACGGCAGCACAGAGGAGCUUGCUCCUUGGGUGGCGAGUGGCGGACGGGUGAGGAAUACAUCGGAAUCUACUUUUUCGUGGGGGAUAACGUAGGGAAACUUACGCUAAUACCGCAUACGACCUACGGGUGAAAGCAGGGGACCUUCGGGCCUUGCGCGAUUGAAUGAGCCGAUGUCGGAUUAGCUAGUUGGCGGGGUAAAGGCCCACCAAGGCGACGAUCCGUAGCUGGUCUGAGAGGAUGAUCAGCCACACUGGAACUGAGACACGGUCCAGACUCCUACGGGAGGCAGCAGUGGGGAAUAUUGGACAAUGGGCGCAAGCCUGAUCCAGCCAUACCGCGUGGGUGAAGAAGGCCUUCGGGUUGUAAAGCCCUUUUGUUGGGAAAGAAAUCCAGCCGGCUAAUACCUGGUUGGGAUGACGGUACCCAAAGAAUAAGCACCGGCUAACUUCGUGCCAGCAGCCGCGGUAAUACGAAGGGUGCAAGCGUUACUCGGAAUUACUGGGCGUAAAGCGUGCGUAGGUGGUUGUUUUAAGUCUGUUGUGAAAGCCCUGGGGCUCACCUGGGAACUGCAGUGGAAACUGGACAACUAGAAUGUGGUAAGGGU